AUGCUCCAUAAGAUGAAUAGCACCCAUAAGUUCUACAAACAAAGCAUCCCUCUGGCCCAAAAAACAAGAAAAAUUCCCCAAAUGGAAUCCGCUAUGGUCACCAAACAAAACACCGUACGCAGCCAGAUUCGCCAUCGAUACCCCAUCACAGUUAUCUUUAAACCAAAAUCUCAACAGAGGAACAGGAACCCAAAUAACUUCUUCAUCACCCUCGGUCUAGGCGGUAUAAUAGAAAGACGGGAUACUUUAAGCAGCCUAAAAUCAUCCAUAUUAUUCACAGAAUGA
Non-coding RNA from Vicia faba (fava bean), 285 nucleotides. NCBI's taxonomy places the organism in Eukaryota, Viridiplantae, Streptophyta, Magnoliopsida, Fabales, Fabaceae. The record is from the annotation of a GenBank genome assembly.